RNAcentral lists this long non-coding RNA (1017 nucleotides) under Triticum aestivum (bread wheat). RNAcentral's name for it is "long non-coding RNA (TAES_LNC004289)". Lineage: Eukaryota; Viridiplantae; Streptophyta; Magnoliopsida; Poales; Poaceae. The record is from RNAcentral.
CCCCCAAGCUUGCUGUCUGUGUGGUGAGCAAGCUGUUUCUUUUCUCACACAAACCCCGGGACUAACAGCAGGUUGACAGAUCUAUUUGUAGCCUCUUAGUAGGUUUUUGCUAUAUGUCAUGACUCAUGACCUAAUCUUUGUUCGCAAUUUGAUGCCUGUCUGCCUGCAGUCAUGAAUUUCUUCAGCAAUCCUCAAAUGAGCUCAUGGUCUGCGUGUGUGCUACAGUGAAAUUAUAUGAUUCAGCAUGUGUAUCAACUCGGACACUUGGUAAACAGAUAUCAACUUGGUGAACGGAUGGAUACGGAAAACUUAUGAUUGAUGCUGGCUUGAUAGGUGCUGUUUGAUCCUCCCCCCUACACAGUCGGUGUCACAACGAACAUUGGAAGUUCAGACGGGAAGUUCACAACUUUUGACUUCGAGUCGCACGCGACCAAGUCAAGACCAAUAAUUCGGGUUAAAAAUAUCAUAAGGGAAAAAUUUAGGGUUGUCUACCUUCUGAACUGAAAGACUAAUACAGUUGUACUUAGCUUAGCACAUUCGAUGAUUCGAUGCUGCACUGUCUUAUUCCUUGUUUCUGUUUUGUGACUGCAGAAUUCAGCAGGGUGAAUUUCCGUUCCGUUUUGAAAACCGAGCAUUCAAAUUUCCGUUUUGCUCAGGUCACCUUGAUAUAUCUAAAUCAUCGUUGGAACUUAGGUUUGCACUGGUAAAAUUAGUAAGCUGUAACUCUAGUAUGCAAAGCUGUUAGGUGCAUGAGGGUGUGCUGUCAAAUUUCUUUUAUAUCUGAAAGGGACCUAUGAGCAAUUGGUGGAAGUACUUGUGUAGGGCUAUAACCCACAGAGCACCAUCUCUACACAUUACUACUACUGCACAGUAGUAAUUUGCACCACUAAAUGCCAAACCCCACACAUAACUCAAGUAAAAGCCAAUGCCUGUGCUUCCUCUCUCUGCCUCUCCUCCACCCCUCCAUCACUGUUUCUACUUGCUGAUGUUGGAGAAGAUGAUUAGGGUUGUUGGUGU